Molecule: non-coding RNA, 203 nt
Organism: Pelobates cultripes (western spadefoot toad)
Lineage: Eukaryota; Metazoa; Chordata; Amphibia; Anura; Pelobatidae
Source: the annotation of a GenBank genome assembly
CUGAGAGAUAAAUUUUCUGUUUGAAAGUCUUUAAUAACAAUGAUGACGUUUAAAGAUCUAGAAACAGACUCUCAUGACCCACACAUCUGUUAAAUUUGCCAGAUUGCUUAAGUGUCAAUUUGUCUACAACAAUUUUCACAAGGUGUUAGAAGAUAAUUUACAAAGAGCUUCACAAUUUCUUCAUUAUACAACAGAUAUACCAG